UCUAAUAGUACUUUGAUUAACCUAAUCGUUUCCGAAAUCGCUUCUCACUUAUCGCGCCUCUCACAGUCUCACCUUCAUUACUAAAACGCUUUUCAUUUCUGCACAUUCUUGUUCGAGAGCUUCUCACUUCCAAGUUUCUUCUUCGAGCAUAAUCUUGACGCCAAUCCAACAGUGUGACCUUCAACUACUGAACGUGGAUACCGUCGUAGUUCAAAAGGAAUUUACUAGGAGCAGCAAUCCAGUGACUUGUCCUUGUUCUAAAAAAUAGCUUGAUUAUGGAAUCAACUCGUCUGAACUAAACGAUCCAAGUGAAAAUGCAACAUUUCUUCCUUUUGGAUCUGAAACAAAGGCAUGAAGUGUAUGCGAGCAACUCUCACAAGCGACAUGUGAUAAAGGUUGGAACCACGAUACAGUUUUUGGUCAAGAGGAAAAAUUUAGAUGUAGAGACAUGGAAGUGAAGAUAGCAGGACAUUCAAAGUUAUGGAUACAUCAACAUACAAAUAUAAAAAAAAAAAAUAUUUUUAUUUUAUUUUAUGUGAAAAUUUGGAUAUAUACUAAGAU
Long non-coding RNA from Vicia villosa (hairy vetch), 561 nucleotides. RefSeq lists it as uncharacterized. NCBI's taxonomy places the organism in Eukaryota, Viridiplantae, Streptophyta, Magnoliopsida, Fabales, Fabaceae. The record is from RefSeq and is a predicted model, not a curated record. The transcript has 5 exons.